UACGUAGGGGGCGAGCGUUGUCCGGAAUCAUUGGGCGUAAAGCGCGUGUAGGCGGCCCGGUAAGUCCGCUGUGAAAGUCCAGGGCUCAACCCUGGGAUGCCGGUGGAUACUGUCGGGCUAGAGUCCGGAAGAGGAGUGUGGAAUUCCGUGGUGUAGCGGUGAAAUGCGCAGAUAUCAGGAGGAACACCAAUGGCGAAGGCAGCACUCUGGGACGUGACUGACGCUGAGACGCGAAAGCGUGGGGAGCAAACAGG
RNAcentral lists this ribosomal RNA (254 nucleotides) under uncultured bacterium. RNAcentral's name for it is "partial 16S ribosomal RNA". It matches the Rfam family "Bacterial small subunit ribosomal RNA", at positions 524 to 776 of the family's 1533-position model. The record is from RNAcentral.